This 3838-nucleotide long non-coding RNA is filed under the name Linum usitatissimum (flax). Its description in RNAcentral is "long non-coding RNA (LUSI_LNC007536)". Lineage: Eukaryota; Viridiplantae; Streptophyta; Magnoliopsida; Malpighiales; Linaceae. The record is from RNAcentral.
AGUUCAUUGAUAUCUUCCUAUUUCUUUGGUAAUUUGCCUCUGCCACUUGACAUUCUGGCCUGCUUUCUUGCUUACUCUUGGUUAUCUUUGUUCUUAUUGUUUGCAUCAUGUUGUUAUCAUGCCAUAAACUGGUUCAAACUGCUUUGAAUUAUCAUGGCGACUGUGAUGUUAUGUGUUGUUUGCUAGCAUGGCAAUCUCCAUUUAUCUUUUCUUAAGUGCACUUUGAGAUUCUUAUAUAUCGUUCUUAUGGAUUUAGAUCUUGUCAGUGUGAGUAGUGGUAUCAUUUUAUUUUUCCGUUUAAAUUCCUUUGAGGCGCUAUGAAGUUCUAGUAGAUGAGGAAUUCUAACGCAUGUGCCACCAAAAAAGUCUUGAAGGUUUAGGUGGUUAUGGCUCACACACGCGGCGGCAACUCGGUUUCCACCUGUUUGCAGGUUUUUUUUACCGAGUUUGCCCCGUGUGGGUUGGGUCAUAACCAUGCCUUCAUUGAGGAAAAAAAGAGAGGGGGUGGUGCGUAAAAGAAGUGUUAGGGUGUUCAUCACCUAAGUGAAGUGAUGAGUUUGUGCGCUCUAACACAAGCACAAAGAAGGUGAGAAUCAGUGAACACCCCUCCAUGCAAGUGGGAAAAAUACUCAGACCAGAAUUCCCUUAUUGUUUACUACUUCCGCUUGUGUCACGAAGGUAAGAUAAUGGAAACGAAAUGAUAUUCUCCACUGGCAAGGUUUAUUUUCAUUAGCACGAUAUGUGUGAAUGUCACUUGUAGUUCUUUACGGGACAUUGGUUUUUUAUUGUGUGGUCAGGCUUGACACAUGCCAUAAACUGGUUCAAACUGCUUUGAAUUAUCAUGGCGACUGUGAUGUUGUGUGUUGUUUGCUAGCAUGACAAUCUCCAUUUAUCUUUCCUUCAGUGCACUUUGAGAUUCUUAUAUAUCGUUCUUAUGGAUUUAGAUCUUGCCAAUGUGAGUAGUAGUAUCAUUUUAUUUCUCCGUUUAAACUCCUUUGAGGCGCUAUGAAGUUCUAGUAGAUGGGGAAUUCUAACGCAUGUACCAUCAAAAAAGUCUUGAAGGUUUAGGUGGUUAUGGCUCACACACGUGGUGGCGACCCGGUUUCCACCUGUUUGCAGGUUUUUUUUAUCGAGUUUGCCCCGUGUGGGUUGGGUCAUAACCAUGCCUUCAUUGAGGGAAAAAAAGAGGGGGUGGUGCGUAAAAGAAGUGUUAGGGUGUUCAUCACCUAAGUGAAGUGAUGAGUUUGUGCACUCUAACACAAGCACAAAGAAGGUGAGAAUCAGUGAACACCCCUCCAUGCAAGUGGGAAAAAUACUCAGACCAGAAUUCCCUUAUUGUUUACUACUUCCGCUUGUGUCACGGUCAUUGGACCCUUGCGGUCCCAUUUGAUAUAUCUUUGAGCGUUUUUGGUGAGUUUCUAGGUCAUGUUCAAUCAUCACCUCGUGGUCUCAUUGCUAAGGUUGGUUUUUGACUAGUUUUAAUUUGAUUUUCACCAGCUCUCAUAAUUUCUUUUACUAUGCAAUAAUUGACCUUCUCCUUUGUACUUGUAGAGUUUAACUGCUUUUGACUCUUCAUUUGACAUGUGCUGCUACAAGCCUUUUGGUGUGAAGGUGGAUUGGAGCUUGGUUGGGAAAGCUUCUCCAUAUGUUUGUCCUCUUCAUUUCGCUACUUCUUCCUUUAUGUUGUUGUGGUUCUAGGAUGUUUGCCCAUCUAUUGGUUUUUGGGUUCAGGGUUUAAUGUCUGGGGUUAGGGGUCUAGCGUCUAGGGUGAACAUUCAGGUAUAAAAAUAAAGGAUUAGUACAGAAAGGCAGAAACCAUGGAUCUGAUCAAAAGGUAUGAUAAACUAGAACAUCUGUAUUUAUCCUUCAUUGUGCUUCAUAUAACAUGAAGAUGGUGGAUAAUCCCAAGUUUCAUUGCAUUUGCAGGGCUAAGGUGAACAUUCAGGUAUAAGAACAAAGGAUCAAUGCAGAAAGGCAGAAACAAUGGAUCUGAUUAGAAGGUAUGAUAAACUAGAACAUUAGUGCUGUUAUUAUCCUUUAUCGUGCUUCAUAUAAGAUGGAAAUGGUGGAUGAUCCCGAGUUUGAUUGCAUUUGCAGGGCUAAGUGGAAGCCUCAAAUAAAGGAGAAAGUAGCAAACAUGCUGCCCUCUGGUGUGGUUAAAAUCUGAGUACUCAUUACGGGUCUGCAAGCACAGCUUGGCAAACUCCUAUUAUAUGUGUAAGUUUACAGACUACAUAUUUUCCUUAAGUAUUCCUUGUCCGAUGAAUGCUGAAAAUAUCAUGAAUAUUCCUUCUUUUACCCGGUGUGAACAUAGUUUCUUGAAAGUCCUAAUUAGUGGCAAGUUAGAUUCAUUUGAAAGUUAUCUUGAAUUUCCAUUCACAUCCGAGAGGUGCUUGCAUGCAAAUCUUAAUGGUGGUGUGGAGUAAUUUGUGUUGUCCACAGUCUAUGGUCAAAACGUUUUGGACAACUGGUUGAAAAGGACAGCAUGUACCAAAAAUGUGCAGGUUCGUAUUCCAUCUCUAAUAUGCUGUUUUCAUCUUUGCUCUUUGAUUUGGACAAUAAGUGUAGGUUGUUUACUCGCUAUUUAACUACAGGUAUAUGUUUUCCUGUUGCUCUUGCAACUCAGGCCUUGAGAAUUCUGCCAGCAUGCCUAGGGAUAUAGCAUAAACAAGUAGUUUCGUUGUUCAAGGUAUGAACAAUGUUUGGAUGCCUAUAUGUGUAUCCAUGAUUCAUGUUCUUUGUCUAAAUCCAGUAAAAUAAGGAUUAUGGAGACGCUAAACUUGCGAAAGAUUUGCAAACAUUUCUAAGGAUCUUGCAGGUGCCAAAUUUGCGAAAGAUUUUCAAACAAGAGAUUUCACAACAAAUCGGUCAGGUGAAUGAUAUUCUUAAAGAUCUUUCAUCCAUGAACAAGGAACCAUGAUCAGCGAGUACCUUCACAAGAAUUUCAGUGAUAUCUUUCCUGUUUCCCCAUCCUUCUCUUCAAUACUUUUGGACAUGUUGCAGAUGAGAGUGGUGCCUGCAUUGAUAACACACAAGCUGCAACUGCACAAGGGAAACAUCAUCUUGUCUAAACAUCAUCUUGUCAAAGCUAUGGAAGUCCCAAAAUCAAACGCGUCCCUGGUAAUUCUCCUCUGCCACUUUUCAUUCUUCCUAUUCUUCUGAUGGUAUUUUUCUGCUGUAGUUCGUAGGUCUUUUACUCUUCGCUACUGUGUGCUUCCUCCUUACUAUGUUGGUCUUCUAACUGCUGACCUGCUUUUGUAACUUACUGGGCUGGUACUGGGGUUUAGGGUAAUUUAUGUACUAGUUACAGGGGUGUAGCGUCUAGGGUGAACAUUCAGAUAUAAGAACAAAGGAUCCGUGCAGAAAGGUAGAAACCGUGUAUCUGAUCAGAAGGUAUGAUAAAUUAAACCGUUGAUGCUGUAAUUAUUCUUUAUUGUGUUUCAUAUAAGAUGGAAAUGGUGGAUGAUUCCAAGUUUGAUUGCAUUUGCAGGGCUGAGUGGUAUUUUUUCAAAUGAAGGAGAAAGUACUGAACAGUGUGUUGCCCCUCUGGUGUGGUUAAAAUCUGAGUACUCAUUACGGGGUCUGCAAGCACAGCUUGACAAACUCCUAUUAUAUUUGUAAGUACAAACUACAUAUCUUCCUUAAGUAUUACUUGUCGGAUGAAUGCUAAAAAUCUCAUAAAUUGUUUGGAUGCCUUAUAUGUGUAUCCAUGAUUCAUGUUUGUUGUUCUAAAUGCAGCAAAAUAAGGAUCUUAGAGACACUAAACUUGCAAAAUAUUUUCAAACAUUUCUAAGGAUCUUGCAGGUGCUAAACUUGCCUCCAUGGUCUCAUAGCUGAG